AUGCUAACCUACAGCAUGGUCUUUAGGAUGAGGCCAGUGGUGCUAAUCUACUGCAGUAGAAAUGAUGGGUGGCCUUUCCAGCUUGGAUCACAGUCAUUCAGUCAGGUUCUUCCUGAGGUAUCCUCGUCAGCAAUACAGAACAUGACAUUGAGGAAAGAGAAGAAAGGGCAGUCUCGCUGCUCUCCCUCGUUCUAUGCCAGAUUCCAGCUGAACCCAGAAUGGAGCCAUCAUAAUUAAGGGGAUGAAGAUCUAAGACAUAUUUUACUUGCAUUUCCAAUGAGCGUACCUAUAGAAAUUGUAAACAAUUAUUAAAAAUAGGUUAUUCAUAGAUUUUGGAUCUGGCUAUGAAAUAUAAAUAUUCCUUCACCCACACAACUCUGAAAUAACCAAAUGAAAUUUGUAAUGGAAAUAUGAUUUAUCAGGAACUUGUGACUUUCUCAGAGAUAGUCUUCCAAUCUACGCUUGAAUCUAUAUUUUUCCCAUCUUCUGUAUCUUCUAUAUACAAAAUUUCAGAGAAAAAUCAGUUUCUCCCUUUUUUUUUUUUUUUUUUUUUUUUCCCCACCUAGGACAUGAGUGAAAAAAAGAAAUAGAGAAGAGACACUUCCUAGUAACUUCAGAAUGGGCCAGUGAUUUGGAUUAUCACAAGUCUGCACCAAGGCAGAUAAGUACCAGUUACUUUAUACGUGGCAGAACAUCCCCAGAAGGAGAGAUCUGCCCCCCUCUCUGAAGAGUAUUCUCACAAAAGGUAGACCUAGAAAGCUUAAUAUCUGUGAAGUAGUAAGAGAACUUGAAAAUCAUUUUCCCAGUGCACCUAUUUGUGGUGGCUAAGGUCAAAUUUGAGGCAUGUUGAUGAGUUGGCAUUCUCCGGCAGUGUCUCACUCUUGAUAUUUAUGUGCAUUCUUCUAUACAUAUACAAAUAACUAGAAAAUAGAUGAAGCAUAGGUAAAACUGACACUAGGUCUUUCUGCAUCUCUGGCUAACCUGGUCCUCUAUCUUGCUGAUAAUAAAUGGAGUAAGCCUAUAGGUUUCUGGUGAACA
This 1038-nucleotide long non-coding RNA is filed under the name Coturnix japonica (Japanese quail). RNAcentral describes it as "lncRNA (ENSCJPG00005006928.1)". Lineage: Eukaryota; Metazoa; Chordata; Aves; Galliformes; Phasianidae. The record is from RNAcentral.